CACGUUUUUAUGAAAAUGGAGCUUAUGUUUGAUAAACUACCCAGGCAAACGCUAUGGAAUGCUAUACUGCAAACCAAGCAACAGCAAGUUC
Molecule: long non-coding RNA, 91 nt
Organism: Myripristis murdjan (pinecone soldierfish)
Lineage: Eukaryota; Metazoa; Chordata; Actinopteri; Holocentriformes; Holocentridae
Exons: 3
Source: RefSeq, a predicted model, not a curated record